Molecule: ribosomal RNA, 494 nt
Filed under: uncultured bacterium
Lineage: Bacteria
Description: partial 16S ribosomal RNA
Rfam family: Bacterial small subunit ribosomal RNA
Source: RNAcentral
GACGAACGCUGGCGGCGUGCUUAACACAUGCAAGUCGAACGGUGAAGCGCCUUCCUUUUUGGUGGGUGUGGAUGAGUGGCGAACGGGUGAGUAACACGUGAGUAACCUGCCCCCUUCUUCUGGAUAACCGCAUGAAAGUGUGGCUAAUACGGGAUAUUCUGGGUCUGUCGCAUGAUGGGUCUGGGAAAGAUAUUGUUUCGGUGGGGGAUGGGCUCGCGGCCUAUCAGCUUGUUGGUGGGGUGAUGGCCUACCAAGGCGGUGACGGGUAGCCGGCCUGAGAGGGUGGACGGUCACACUGGGACUGAGACACGGCCCAGACUCCUACGGGAGGCAGCAGUGGGGAAUAUUGCACAAUGGGCGCAGGCCUGAUGCAGCGACGCCGCGUGAGGGAUGGAGGCCUGCGGGUUGUGAACCUCUUUCGCCAGUGAAGCAGGCCUGCCUCGUUUGUGGGUGGGUUGACGGUAGCUGGAGAAGAAGCGCCGGCUAACUACGUG